AUUGGACAAUGGGGGAAAGCCUGAUUCAGUCAUGUCGCGUGUGUGAAGAAGGUCUUCGGAUUGUAAAGCACUUUAAGUUGGGAGGAAGGGCAGUAAGUUAAUACCUUGCUGUUUUGACGUUACCGACAGAAUAAGCACCGGCUAACUCUGUGCCAGCAGCCGCGGUAAUACAGAGGGUGCAAGCGUUAAUCGGAAUUACUGGCGUAAAGCGCGCGUAGGUGGUUCGUUAAGUUGGAUGUGAAAGCCCCGGGCUCAACCUGGGAAUUGCAUCCAAAACUGGCGAGCUAGAGUACGGUAGAGGGUGGUGGAAUUUCCUGUGUAGCGGUGAAAUGCGUAGAUAUAGGAAGGAACACCAGUG
Molecule: ribosomal RNA, 358 nt
Filed under: uncultured Pseudomonas sp.
Lineage: Bacteria; Pseudomonadati; Pseudomonadota; Gammaproteobacteria; Pseudomonadales; Pseudomonadaceae
Description: bacterial SSU rRNA
Rfam family: Bacterial small subunit ribosomal RNA
Source: RNAcentral